Molecule: long non-coding RNA, 2948 nt
Organism: Equus caballus (horse)
Lineage: Eukaryota; Metazoa; Chordata; Mammalia; Perissodactyla; Equidae
Source: Ensembl
UGACUCUCUGAUUCUGAAAGUGGUGCUUAGAGGGUCCUCAAUACAAGCAUGGGAAAUUCUGCACUUGAUCUAGAGGCCUCAGAAGCCUCCAGGGGCCCAUUCCAGCUCUGAACUUGAAAAUGCAUUUGUUAAAAGGAGCCAAAUUGGGAUGAAAUGACUAAGGAAGGUGCCCUUUUGCAGAGCUGUGGAUGGAAAUGUCUUCCAGAUCAGGACGAGGUGCUCUAUUUUCCAGAUUGGUCCCUAGAAGCUUCUUGAUUCUCAGGAUUGUCUUGGUCUGCUGAUCUCAGAGUUAUUUUCACCAAGACUCUGGACCACCGUGAACUCUCAGUGGCCGGUCCCACUCGCUGAUGGGGAAAGAGAAGAAUUCCCCUGUCACCUGGUUAGGAGCCUUUCCCAACUGGGUGAAGAUGUUUCCAAAAUAUUUCUAUGGUAAUUGAUGGAGUUAUUAAGAUUUAUUGAGUAAAUAACGCUCCCAUUCAAAAGAAGCUCAGGCUGAAAGCACAUCUAACUUCCAUAGGUGGGCUUCCUUGUUGCGCAUCAGAAACCCUACCAAUUCCCAUGGUCUCCAUCACAGACUCUGGGACCACCACACUGUCUCGUGGGUAAAGUGACUUCCCUCAUGGCGGAGGCCUCAGAGAGGAGAUGGACGGGGCAGUGGGCUGAGUGGCUUGCUCAGUCUCAGUGUGGAGACAUCCGUCCCAACCCAGGCCAUGCUGGGCUCUGCAUUUCUCCCAGCAUCCCCUUUGAUAGCUGGAUGUCUUGGGGCACAAAGCAGGGUGCUACUCCCUCCUCCAGCAUCUGACCCACACCCACGGGCAUAGCUCUACUUUCGUGAAACAAAUAAACACAAAUCAUCAUCACAAGUCUUGACAUAACUAUUUGAGAGCGUGUGGUGGGAUGAUACAUGUUUUUGCUCCUGGUGUUCCCACCUUGCCCCCUCCUCCAUUCUGCCAGCUGUGCAUCCCCAAGGCGAUGAGUCAACAGAAACUCAGAAGACAGACUGUCAGCUCUCGGCUCUGGAGUUUCAAAACCUUUGGCCUCAGGGGGAUGAGAGGGACUGAGGCAUAAAUAAUGGAUGUGGGAGGAGAGUCGGGGAAGAGGGAAACUUCUGCACCUGCAGAUGGAAAGGAUUCCCCUGGCUGGGGGAAAGGAGAGAGAUGGAGGGGAGGCAGGGCCACGUGGGCACAAGCGGACUCAGCUUCCAGAACCACCCGGCUCCCCGUGGAGGGAGCUCUUCUGUCAUCGGCCAGGGGUGCCAAGGGAGCUCAGUCAGCACCUUCACAUCUGCAGUCUCUUCUUGUGGUCACUGCACACCAUCCCCACAGGAGCUACGUGGGUGUCCUUCCUGUGGAUGGCAGGUGAGGACCUCCUUUUGGGGUGGCCAGCACACUGGCCCAGAGGGGCACCUCCAAUAGUGUCUGAGGGCUUGCCUGUCGCCUAGUGUUUAUCCUAUGUGGAUGCUCCCAUUUCAGUGUCUCAGGACAUGUGUAAACUGUAGGGGUGGGUUAGGGCCCUGGACACCUGCAGGGGUAGAAGUGAUGGAGGAGACAAAGCCGCUCAUCACUCCUGCCCCAUUGGAACUGGCUGAGGUGCACCUGCUGAGGUGGGGCAGGGUGACCCCAUGGCUCUUAGAAGCUCUUUAGCUACAGAAGCUCACAGCGUGUGGAGGGAGGGACGAGAUGGGCUGUGGGCUCAUGCACGUCCCUUAGUUCCAGCUGUAACUCCACUUUUUCUGUUACUGUUUGGAAAUCCUAACUGGGUGAACUGUGAGAGAGAAGCCAUUUCUUCCUUCCUCCCUUGCGGAAGCUCUGGGGACCUGGUCUGUUUUCUCAGCUCUGCCACUUCUCCCCGGGGACUCUCCUCCCCAGCCAGGCUGCCCAAGGGGUGGAGCCUCCCACCAGCCCCUGCCCUGCGCAGCUCCCCACCCCCCACGCAAGUUCACAGCCUUUCCAUUUAAAGAGUUCAUUGCUGCAGGAAACAGAUGGGAGUAACAAAAAUAAUAAACAGUGAGAAUUUCAAAGGUUCCGGAAGCUUCGAGUCAUGGUCUCAGGCCUGUAGUUAAAGACUUCCUUCUGAGAUGGGUCCUGAAAAUGACUGCAGCCAUGGUCACUUGAGCUCCUGGCAUGGCCAGGCAGGUACUGGCAGCAUUGCAGGCUGCCAGCCGCUGGACUGGUCUGGAAUGUCACGGUGGUCCUGCAGAGGGACGGUGUCGUUCCUGCCAUUUCACACAUGUGAAAAUUGAGCUCAGAGAGCAGGAUUUGGCCACGUGAUUUACAGGGCCCACUGCAAAAUGAAAAUGCAGUGCUCUUGUUCAAAAAUUAUUAAGAAUUUCAAGACGAUGACAGCAGAGCGUUAAACCGAGCACGAGCCCUUCGGAUCGCGGGGCCCUGUGUGACCGCGUGGGACAGGGGUUGUGGCAGAGCCAUUAGACAGCUUACCCAAGGACACCAACCAGUGAGAGGCAAACCCAGGUUUCUCUGCAAGGUCGAGCACAGCCUGAAACUGAAUUUUGCCGUCUCCUGUUUACCUGCCGGCAUCUCCACUGCCUCCUUCCCACCCACCACAGCUCCUGGAGGCUUGGCUGUGACCCUUAUUUCUAUGCCUUAAAAAGAACAGUGAAAAGCAGAGCAUGACUUGAAGACACGGACACUACACAAAUCCUGGUGUUGUUCCGAGAAGCCCUUUGGCUUGUGCUAAAACGGGAGCCGAAGACACGAUUGGGCAUUGCCCCAUCGCUAGCCUUCGCCAUUCAAUUAACUUGACAAGGAAACAUUUUUGAGACAGAUGAUUCUCAUUUUCAAUGCCGUUUGAAAGUCCCUGGGGGCAGGAAGAAUAGUCAAGCUUACUCACUUCAGGAAGUGGUGUCUUCACUUGGAUUUAUGUGGACUUUAUUUUAAGGGACCGCAGCGGGCUCAGCCCACGUAGAUGCGCCUCCCUGGUGGGACGAG